CAGCAGCCGCGGGAAUACGGAGGGUGCAAGCGUUAAUCAGAAUUACUGGGCGUAAAGCGCACGCAGGCGGUCUGACAAGUCAGAUGUGAAAUCCCCGGGCUUAACCUGGGAACUGCAUUUGAAACUGUCAGGCUGGAGUCUUGUAGAGGGGGGUGGAAUUCCAGGUGUAGCGGUGAAGUGCGUAGAGAUCUGGAGGAAUACCGGUGGCGAAGGCGGCCCCCUGGACAAAGACUGACGCUCAGGUGCGAAAGCGUGGGGAGCAAACAGGAUUAGAUACCCCAGUAGUCCCUGUCUCUUAUAC
RNAcentral lists this ribosomal RNA (301 nucleotides) under uncultured bacterium. Its description in RNAcentral is "partial 16S ribosomal RNA". It matches the Rfam family "Bacterial small subunit ribosomal RNA", at positions 509 to 807 of the family's 1533-position model. The record is from RNAcentral.